RNAcentral lists this ribosomal RNA (253 nucleotides) under uncultured bacterium. RNAcentral's name for it is "partial 16S ribosomal RNA". It matches the Rfam family "Bacterial small subunit ribosomal RNA", at positions 524 to 776 of the family's 1533-position model. The record is from RNAcentral.
UACGAAGGGGGCUAGCGUUGUUCGGAAUUACUGGGCGUAAAGCGCGCGUAGGCGGUGAUCUUUGUCAGAGGUGAAAGCCCAGAGCUCAACUCUGGAAUUGCCUUUGAGACUGAGUGGCUUGAGUACGAGAGAGGUGAGUGGAAUUCCCAGUGUAGAGGUGAAAUUCGUAGAUAUUGGGAAGAACACCGGUGGCGAAGGCGGCUCACUGGCUCGUAACUGACGCUCAUGCACGACAGCGUGGGGAUCAAACAGG